Molecule: ribosomal RNA, 167 nt
Filed under: Trichoderma sp. Cornell 9
Lineage: Eukaryota; Fungi; Ascomycota; Sordariomycetes; Hypocreales; Hypocreaceae
Description: 5.8S ribosomal RNA
Rfam family: 5.8S ribosomal RNA (bases 21-167)
About the family: 5.8S ribosomal RNA (5.8S rRNA) is a component of the large subunit of the eukaryotic ribosome. It is transcribed by RNA polymerase I as part of the 45S precursor that also contains 18S and 28S rRNA.
Source: RNAcentral
AAAUGAAUCAAAACUUUCAAAACUUUCAACAACGGAUCUCUUGGUUCUGGCAUCGAUGAAGAACGCAGCGAAAUGCGAUAAGUAAUGUGAAUUGCAGAAUUCAGUGAAUCAUCGAAUCUUUGAACGCACAUUGCGCCCGCCAGUAUUCUGGCGGGCAUGCCUGUCCG